RNAcentral lists this ribosomal RNA (253 nucleotides) under uncultured bacterium. Its description in RNAcentral is "partial 16S ribosomal RNA". It matches the Rfam family "Bacterial small subunit ribosomal RNA", at positions 524 to 776 of the family's 1533-position model. The record is from RNAcentral.
UACGUAGGGUGCGAGCGUUAAUCGGAAUUACUGGGCGUAAAGCGUGCGCAGGCGGUUCGUUAAGUCAGCUGUGAAAGCCCCGGGCUCAACCUGGGAAUUGCGGUUGAAACUGGCGAACUAGAAUCUGGCAGAGGGGGGUGGAAUUCCACGUGUAGCAGUGAAAUGCGUAGAGAUCUGGAGGAACACCGAUGGCGAAGGCAGCCCCCUGGGCUAACACUGACGCUCAUGCACGAAAGCGUGGGGAGCAAACAGG